GACGAACGCUGGCGGCGUGCUUAACACAUGCAAGUCGAACGGAAAGGCCCUGCUUUUGUGGGGUGCUCGAGUGGCGCACGGGUGAGUAUCACGUGAGUAACCUGCCCUUGACUUUGGGAUAACUUCAGGAAACUGGGGCUAUUACCGGAUAGGAGCUCCUGCUGCAUGGUGGGGGUUGGAAAGUUUCGGCGGUUGGGGAUGGACUCGCGGUUUAUCAGCUUGUUGGUGGGGUAGUGGCUUACAAAGGCUUGGACGGGUGGCCGGCCUGAGAGGGUGACCGGCCACAUAGGGACUGAGAAGCGGGCCAGAGUCCUACGGGAGGCAGCAGUGGGAGUUAGUGCACAAUGGGCGGAAGCCGUAUGCAGCAACGUCGCGUCCGGGAAGACGGUCUUCGGGUUAGAAAGCGGUUUCGCCUGUAACGAAGCGUAAGUGACGGUAAUGGGUAAGAAAGCACCGGCUAACUACGUG
This 468-nucleotide ribosomal RNA is filed under the name uncultured bacterium. RNAcentral's name for it is "partial 16S ribosomal RNA". It matches the Rfam family "Bacterial small subunit ribosomal RNA", at positions 28 to 507 of the family's 1533-position model. The record is from RNAcentral.